Molecule: ribosomal RNA, 440 nt
Filed under: uncultured bacterium
Lineage: Bacteria
Description: partial 16S ribosomal RNA
Rfam family: Bacterial small subunit ribosomal RNA
Source: RNAcentral
CCUACGGGAGGCUGCAGUAGGGAAUAUUGCUCAAUGGGGGAAACCCUGAAGCAGCAACGCCGCGUGGAGGAUGAAGGUUUUCGGAUUGUAAACUCCUUUUGUUAGAGAAGAUAAUGACGGUAUCUAACGAAUAAGCACCGGCUAACUCCGUGCCAGCAGCCGCGGUAAUACGGAGGGUGCAAGCGUUACUCGGAAUCACUGGGCGGAAAGAGCGCGGAGGCGGGAUAGCAAGUCAGAUGUGAAAUCCUAUGGCUUAACCAUAGAACUGCAUUUGAAACUGUUAUUCUAGAGUAUGGGAGGGGUAGGUGGAAUUCUUGGUGUAGGGGUAAAAUCCGUAGAGAUCAAGAGGAAUACUCAUUGCGAAGGCGACCUGCUAGAACAUAACUGACGCUGAUGCGCGAAAGCGUGGGGAGCAAACAGGAUUAGAUACCCCAGUAGUC